GAUGAAGAACGCAGCGAAAUGCGAUAAGUAAUGCGAAUUGCAGAAUCCGUGAGUCAUCGAAUCUUUGAACGCACAUUGCGCCCCUUGGUUAUUCCGAAGGGCAUGCCUGUUCGAGCGUCAUUAUCACCCCUCAAGCCCUGGCUUGGUGUUGGUCUUUAGUUAUAGCUUUGCCUAUCAACUGGUCUCAAAGAUAGUGACGGCGCCCCAGAGGGAACCGGGUACGAGGAGCUUUUUACUAAGCAUGUAUCUGGGACGACUCUGGGCGACGGUCUUGUUAUACUUUUUACCUAAGUGUUGACCUCGGAUCAGGUAGGAAUACCCGCUGAACUUAAGCAUAUCAAUAAGCGGAGGA
RNAcentral lists this unclassified non-coding RNA (352 nucleotides) under soil metagenome. Its description in RNAcentral is "partial contains 5.8S ribosomal RNA, internal transcribed spacer 2, and large subunit ribosomal RNA". The stretch from base 1 to 120 matches the Rfam family "5.8S ribosomal RNA", at positions 35 to 154 of the family's 154-position model. The record is from RNAcentral.